GUCUCGCGUGCGCCAGUUCCCGAGGACUGGUGUUCCGGUUGCACGAGUCUCUGCCAUGGCAGCAGCGGAGGGGAAAGACCCGCUCAGCUUCUUCGCGGCGUACGGUAGCGACAACAGCUCGAGUGGCGGCUCGGAUGCCGAGGACGAGGAAGGCUCUGGCCGAGGGUCCAAGGGGUCUUCGCAGCAGUCCAAGAACGGCACCUCCGAGGGCAAACCGCGCUUGCCUGGGCCCGACGAGCUCUUCCGCAGCGUGAACCGACCGGCUUUCCUUUAUAAUCCGCUGCAUAAGGAGAUCGAUUGGGAGAGUCGGGUGCUGCGAGCCCCCGAAGAGCCUCCUAAGGAAUUCAAGGCAUGGACCACAAAUGCUGUGCCUCCCCCUGACACUUACACUAUCAAAGAAAAAAAGCCUCCACCUCCUCCUGAACGUGAUAUGGCAAUCAAAUGGUCAAAUAUCUAUGAAGAUAAUGGAGAUGAUGCUCCAAGGCAUGUAAACAAUGUACAUUUCUUACCAGAAGAAGAACAAGAAACUGUUGAAUCAGAUGGUGAAAAAGAUGAACCCAGCUCAGUUAAGAAACGCAAAUUAAAUCCUGACGAGCAGCCAAAGAAGAAAAAGCAAUGAUGAAUUGGACAAAGACUGAUGACUUUAUCAAUCAAAGUUGUCAAAGUUCUGAUUUGAUUGAUGUUUGAUGUAAAUGUCAAGUCUAUUAAUGCAAAUGUUUCUAGUGGAAACCUUUUAAUUGCAACGCAACUCUUUAAACAUGUUGUGUUUCCAAUGGAGUUCAGCCCAAUCAACUGAAUCAAGAAACAGCUAUACAAAUAAAUCUAUGAUUUUAGAGAAAAUAUUCUCAUGCUAUUAAGUGGACAAUAUUUAAGUUAAAUUUUCCCUAAACACAACUUGCCUUUUCCCUUGGCCUGCAAUCAUGGAUCAAAUCUUUGGUGUUUAUACAGAAUUUCUGCCUGUGAACCCAUUUGUUUUAUAUAGUGAUCCUUUUGUUUUAUCAGUGGUGGGUUCCUACCAGUUCGAAUUGGUUCGGCUGAAGCAGUAGUAGCUUGGUAGCCUGGUUUGCUGGAACCAGCAGCAACCCAGGCCUGCCACGCCCCUGAACCAGUUCUCCCGGCGGCGCCAUAGGUGCCACCAUCUUGUUUUUUGCUUCUGCACAUGCACAGAGCAAUUUUAGUUGUACUGCGCAUGUGUGCGCAAUGUGCAUCAAGCGCGUGCACAGGGCACGUCCCUGAGUAAACCGGCAGUAGUCUCUGCCGGAACCCACCACUGGGUUUUAUACUGCAGAUUGACUUACUGUUGUCCAAUAAUUAUCCCAAGAGUGUUUAGGCAAUUUUGAUAAAGUACUAAAAUAUAUCUCUAAAGAAAUAAAAGUGAUUGCCCCUUGUUUAUAGUUUAGGAACUUCAGGGCUACUUCCCAUAGUAUGAAUUAAUUCUGUGGAAUUAACUCACACAAUGUUGUACUCAAGGCUUUCUAUUGUUUCAGUUCAUAUUUAAGUUAUUUACUCUGCAGAAUGUCUCCAAGCUCUGGUUUUUAAGUUGCAGUUUUUCUUGUUAUAUUUCCAACUUUAUUUUUUACUAUGUCAGUCUUAAAAGCUUUGUUUUUCUGUUUAAACCAUGUUAAGGACAGAUUGAGCAAUUAACAAUAUUCAUGGGCAUUUCAAGUAAUUAGAAAAAAAUGUUAGACAUUUCUCUCCUUUAUAUACCCCCACAUAUAAAAUAAACUUUGCUCCCACUUCGGUGGUAUAUGAAAUAGAACGUCUUCCAUACUGCAUCCCAUUUUUGGGAUACAAUUCUAUAUGUAAUAGAAAUAAAAUUAUAUAUAGAAUGAGGAUUAAGAAGAUGCUUCAAUUGUUGAUUGACAAAAAAUAAUACAUGGAUACAUAGCAUUACCGGGGACUAAUCUUUCCAACCUUUGAUGUGUUUUUAUAUAUAUUGUACCUCUAUAUUUUGAAGUGAAUUGUUUUUAAACAGGUAGAAAUUAUCCAACUGAAUCUUCAUGUAAGAUGUUAUUUUGUUUGUUCAUUUAUUUAAUAAACUGCAUCAAUUUCAAUUAUUUUAGAAUCUAAAUGAUAUACAAGAACAGUGGCAACAUUCAGUUUCAGAGUUAAUGUGUGUGCUUUUUGAGAUAAUUUAAUAGAGUUUUUAUAGGGAUUUUUGGUAUUUUAAAGGAAUAAUGUAACUGCAAAAGAAUGGCCAAGAUCUGGGAGUAUGCCAUGAUGUCUAAAAUAAUACCAUAUUUCAAAAGUAACUGAAUAUAACUCAAGUUGGAAAUCUUGUUUAGAUUAUAACUCUAUACAUAAUUUGUAUCACAUCUGAAAUUUAGAUUCCUCUUAACAGAAAAGUUUUUAUAUGGGUCGGAGACAGAGGUUGUAUUCAGCGAGUUCUGACCUGUUCUGGAGAACCAGUAGUGGAAACUUUGAGUAGUUCGGAGAACCGGCAAAUAGGCUGGCUCCUCCCCCGCUGCCUUCCAGCCUCUCAGUUGAUCUUCUUUUGUUG
Thamnophis sirtalis is the source of this 2500-nucleotide RNA transcript. It is a transcript of the gene named chromosome unknown C1orf52 homolog, with no coding region annotated. NCBI's taxonomy places the organism in Eukaryota, Metazoa, Chordata, Lepidosauria, Squamata, Natricidae. The record is from RefSeq and is a predicted model, not a curated record.